AGAAGCACUUGAAUUGUUGGCCUCUGCCCAGUGGGUUCCCUUGGCCACGAACCCCACUCCUUUUCUGGCCUCAGUUUUCCGUCUGUGACAAGAGGGAGGCUCUGUGUCAACACCGAACACGCUUAAUUUCUGCAAGUCUCAGGAAGGGUAUAAUAGGAUAGGAUAUAAAUUACGUUCUCUUCACUCCCCAGCACCUAAUACUGUGUGGCAUGCUGUAGGUAUUUAAUAAAUACGUGUUCAAUGAAUUUAUCCUCCCAGGAAUCCCUUAAGAGAGGGGAAUUUUAGGCCAGGCGCCGUUGAUCACGCCUGUAAUCCAAACACUGGGAGGCUGAGGCGGGUGGAUCGCUUGAGCCCAAGAGUUCGAGACCAGCCUGGGCAACCCAGGGAGACCCCCUCGUCUCUACAGAAACUUAAAAAGUUAGCCGGGCAUGGUGGCGCACUCUUGUAGUCGCAGCUGCUUGGGAGGCUGAGGCAGGAGGAUCACUGGACCCCGGAAGGCGGAAGUUGCAGUGAGCUGAAAUCGCGCCACUGCACUCCAUCCUGGACAGCAGAGCGAGACUCUGUCUCAAAAAAAAAAAAAAGUAAAUUAAAGAGAGGAAUUUUAGUUCUGUGUUACAGUGGCGCUUGAGGCUACAAGUCCAAGUAUCUUCAGCUCAAGAAGAAGUUAGAAGAUGA
This 675-nucleotide small RNA is filed under the name Pan troglodytes (chimpanzee). Its description in RNAcentral is "processed transcript". The record is from RNAcentral. Lineage: Eukaryota; Metazoa; Chordata; Mammalia; Primates; Hominidae.